Molecule: ribosomal RNA, 497 nt
Filed under: uncultured bacterium
Lineage: Bacteria
Description: partial 16S ribosomal RNA
Rfam family: Bacterial small subunit ribosomal RNA
Source: RNAcentral
GAUGAACGCUGGCGGCGUGCCUAAUACAUGCAAGUAGAACGCUGAAGCUUGGUGCUUGCACCGAGCGGAUGAGUUGCGAACGGGUGAGUAACGCGUAGGUAACCUGCCUCUUAGCGGGGGAUAACUAUUGGAAACGAUAGCUAAUACCGCAUAAAAGUCGAUAUCGCAUGAUAUUGAUUUGAAAGGUGCAAAUGCAUCACUAAGAGAUGGACCUGCGUUGUAUUAGCUAGUUGGUGAGGUAACGGCUCACCAAGGCGACGAUACAUAGCCGACCUGAGGGGGUGAUCGGCCACACUGGGACUGAGACACGGCCCAGACUCCUACGGGAGGCAGCAGUAGGGAAUCUUCGGCAAUGGGGGCAACCCUGACCGAGCAACGCCGCGUGAGUGAAGAAGGUUUUCGGAUCGUAAAGCUCUGUUGUAAGAGAAGAACGAGUGUGAGAGUGGAAAGUUCACACUGUGACGGUAACUUACCAGAAAGGGACGGCUAACUACGUG